This 253-nucleotide ribosomal RNA is filed under the name uncultured bacterium. RNAcentral's name for it is "partial 16S ribosomal RNA". It matches the Rfam family "Bacterial small subunit ribosomal RNA", at positions 524 to 776 of the family's 1533-position model. The record is from RNAcentral.
UACGUAGGGUGCAAGCGUUACUCGGAUUUAUUGGGCGUAAAGCGCAUGUAGGCGGUUUUGUAAGUUUGAUGUGAAAUCCCUGGACUCAAUUCAGGAACUGCAUUGAAUACUGCAAGACUAGAGUAUGAGAGAGGUAGGCGGAAUUCUUGGUGUAGAGGUGAAAUUCGUAGAUAUCAAGAGGAACAACAGAAGCGAAGGCGGCUUACUGGAUCAUUACUGACGCUGAGAUGCGACAGUGUGGGGAGCAAACAGG